UACAGAGGUGGCGAGCGUUAUUCGGAAUUAUUGGGCGUAAAGGGCGCGUAGGCGGCCAAGCAAGUCCUGGGUGAAAUCCCUCGGCUCAACUGGGGAGGGUCACUCGAUACUGAUCGACUUGAAGGCAGGAGAGGGAAGCGGAAUUCCCGGUGUAGUGGUGAAAUGCGUAGAUAUCGGGAGGAACACCAGUGGCGAAGGCGGCUUCCUGGCCUGUUCUUGACGCUGAGGCGCGAAAGCUAGGGGAGCAAACGGG
Molecule: ribosomal RNA, 253 nt
Filed under: uncultured bacterium
Lineage: Bacteria
Description: partial 16S ribosomal RNA
Rfam family: Bacterial small subunit ribosomal RNA
Source: RNAcentral